AAUAAACAAGAUUCACAGAGGAGACACAUUCUGGGCACAUGAAUGGUCUGAGCUCUGUGGAUGACACUAGAUUCAGAACUAACAUAUAAUUUAUUCUAUGUCCUGAAUCUAUAAUCUCUCAAGGAGGGAGGUGAGAAAAUGGACACAGUCACUGUGGGCGAGCCCUCAUCCAGUGGCUGAUGGAAGCAGAGACAGACAUCCACAGAUAUACACUGAGCUGAAAUCUGGAAUUUAGUUGGAGAGAGGGAGGAAUGAAGAGUGAAGGGGUCUGUACCAGGUUGGAGAAACCCACAGGAACAAUUGGCCUGAACAAGGGACAGCACAUCGACUCCAGAUGCUGUUGGGGAGGCCAGUACAAGAUUGAUCCAGACCCCUGAACAUGGAUGUCAAUAAGGAGGCCUCUGCACUCCAGGGAGCCUCUGGUAGUGGAUUAGUAUUUUUUCCUGGUGUGAGAAGGGACUUUGAGAGUCCAUCCCAUGUGAAGGGUUACACUCUGGCCCUGGACACAUGGGGAAGGGCCCAGGCCCAGCACAGGAAGAUUUGGUGGACUUUGCAGAGCCCCCGUUGAGGGCCCUACCCUGCCUGGGGAGUG
This 592-nucleotide long non-coding RNA is filed under the name Cricetulus griseus (Chinese hamster). Its description in RNAcentral is "lncRNA (ENSCGRG00015032333.1)". Lineage: Eukaryota; Metazoa; Chordata; Mammalia; Rodentia; Cricetidae. The record is from RNAcentral.